RNAcentral lists this long non-coding RNA (1188 nucleotides) under Mytilus galloprovincialis (Mediterranean mussel). The record is from RNAcentral. Lineage: Eukaryota; Metazoa; Mollusca; Bivalvia; Mytilida; Mytilidae.
GUUGUAUUUAUGCUGUUUUAAUGUUAUUACAAAAAUAAUAAACAAAUAUCUUGCAGCAAUUUUCUAUUUAAUGAGAUUCUGCGAAGAUUGUCAAAUUCUUUAAAAUGUCAUUGGAGAUGACUGACAGUUACUUUUCAGACCAAUUUUUAGAUAGAAGAGUGUAUCAACAUGUUUCUCUUUCUUGGUACCCAAAUACCUAAUACUUUUGAAACCUACCGCUAAAGAAAAUGGUAGUCCAUACUCAAAAUUUCCAGAGAUGAACCAUGCAUAAUAUUGACAUAAUGUUUGGUGCUACAUGUAUUAUCGUCAUGCAGAAAAUGUGCUUAAAUUUCAUGAUGCUGUUAAGAAUGUGAUUAAUAGAAAGGAAUUGAUGUAGCCUUGUUUUUUUUUAUUGUUUCUUAUGCUUCAAUGAGUGGCAAGGUGUGCUAGAUUGUGCUAUUUGUAUGAUUGAAUGAGUGACAAGGUGUGCUAGAUUGUUCUAUUUGUAUGAUUGAAUGAGUGGCAAGGUGUGCUAGAUUGUUCUAUUUGUGUGAUUGAAUGAGUGGCAAGGUGUGCUAGAUUGUGCUAUUUGUAUGAUUGAAUGAGUGGCAAGGUCUGCUAGAUUGUGCUAUUUGUAUGAUUGAAUGAGUGGCAAGGUGUGCUAGAUUGUUUUAAUUUUAAAAGCUUAAAUCAUGUUACUUAUCUGAUUUGUUCAGGAAAAAAAUUGAAUCAUGUGAAAAAUUAGUUAGCAUUGUAGAUUGCAUGUGUAAUAUUGAAAUCAUGUCAGGCAUGGUAAGAAUGUGGUAUGGAUCGGUAGCUGAUAUUGUUCUCUUGAUUUGUGAGAUAUUUAUAAAGUCAUUUUAAAACUUACUUGAAUUGCAAAAAUAUAUACUUUUAUAACAUAUUUGGGUUUCACACUAGUUUUGAGUAAGAUAGAUUUUAAAAAAUAGGUUUGGUUGCUUUUUUGUAAUAACAAAAUUUGUAGGAUUGUAUUUCCAGUUAUUACAAAUUCUUGAAAAAAUGUUUGUGAUAAAAAAUUGUCAUAGGGAUCAAAUGAUUAUUAUAAAUAUUUAAAUGGACCAUAUAAAUGUCUAACAUUUGGGUAAGAAAGCGAAUGACUGAGGAAAAAUUAAAUGCUGUGAUUUUGAGGAAUAAAUAUGUUUUUGUUAUGUUUUGUAUGAUGCUGAAAAUGUGAUAAAUAAAUCUAAU